AAAUAUCUGACUUCUCCUAAAAUUUCACAAAGAAACUCAUCUUAUAUAGAGAGAUAUGAUAGAGUCCUUAUCUAGGUCAAACACCUAGUCAAGGCUUAUCCAAACAUGGCAAGUUAAGGGACGCCCAACUCUUGAGCACCUCCUCCAUAUUUUCGUGCAUGGAUUACCAGAAAAGGGUGUACAAUAUAAAUCCUAAAAGCCACAAAAAUUUUAAAAAAAAUUUGGAUAAAUUUGGUGCAAAAUUGAAAGAGUUUUGGAUUUCUAAAACUCUAUCUCAUAGAAUUCGAAAUCCAAACUUAUUCCUUUUAGAUUUGAUCCAAACCACCUUCCAUGUAAGAAAGAAGAGAAAAGACCUUUUGUGAACGUGGGAGAGAUCUGGGAGAGGGCUUUUGUCGCAUAAAAUAAGUGGAGAUUGGCAUUGAAUUAAGAGAGAGGGCGUGGAGAAGGCUUAUGUGGUGCAAGGUGGAAUCCUAGUCUUACUAGGAUUCUGUCUUAUGACUUGUUUUAAUUUGGUUUCCCAAACCAAAUCAAAUCAAAAUUAGAUCAACCCAAUUAAAAUAGGUCUUAACCCAAUUAAGAACCUAAUUUAAUCAGAUUAAAUUAGAUUUAAAUAUGAUUUAAUUUUUUAAUGAAAUUAGAAAUUAGAUUGACCC
This 653-nucleotide long non-coding RNA is filed under the name Elaeis guineensis (African oil palm). RNAcentral's name for it is "long non-coding RNA (EGUI_LNC066412)". The record is from RNAcentral. Lineage: Eukaryota; Viridiplantae; Streptophyta; Magnoliopsida; Arecales; Arecaceae.